Molecule: long non-coding RNA, 1327 nt
Organism: Lutra lutra (Eurasian river otter)
Lineage: Eukaryota; Metazoa; Chordata; Mammalia; Carnivora; Mustelidae
Exons: 3
Source: RefSeq, a predicted model, not a curated record
CAGGAGGAGAGGGGUCAGGACAAAUUCUCAGAUCCCCAGGAGGGACUGGUCUUCAGAGUCUCAGGAGCAAGGGCGGCGGUGGUGUAGGGAAGCCCAGCGCCAGAGAGUCCGCAUCUCCCCGGGUUUCAUUUCUCCCUUUCACAGCCUGUGUCUGGUCCUCCUGCCUGGAUACCCAUGACGCACAAAUAUUUCGCACUUCCAUUGGGUGUCAGGUUUCUGGAGAAGCCAAUCAGCGGCACCGGGGUUCCAGGUUCUAAAGUCCUCUCCAGGCCCGCCGGGACACCGCUACUUCUCGAACCCUGAGGGUCUGGGUCGCGGGGUCCCGAAACAGACUCCUCUUGCUGGCUUGUGCCCUUGCCGUGACCGAGACCUGGUCAGAUCCCACACUGAGUGGUGAACACAAGAAGCAGGAUCCCCACAUGGCCGUGCAUCAGCCUUUCCUGUAGGGCUGCUUAAGUCAGGAAAGCCACACAACAGACCCAAGGCUGCACAGGCAGGAACAGAAUUCACCUUCACACCCCAGGUCAAGGCCCAAAGAGGAACCACUGCCCCCGGUGCUGGCCACAGGUCCCACUGUUCACACCACUGCACCCUGAGGCCAGGACUGCUGUCACUGCUGCUCCUGGCAGCUGGAUGACAUGAUGGCUACUCAUGCCAAAUGCAUGCAGCACUGUCCCAGCUUCUCUGUCACACACAUCCCAAGUAAGAGUCUGGCAUCUGGUCACCUGAAUGAUGGAACCUCAGGCCCUGUCCCCCUGCAACUACCUGUGACAUCCCGACUCUGAUCUAGAUUCCUGGGGAGUGAUCACCAACAUCCUCCGACUUGAACUCUUCAUUUGGUCUGGUCUCUGCAUUCCUAGCCACAGGCCUGUGAGAGGCCACACAUUCAGGUGGUUCCCAAAGUCACCCCUGCUGGAGGCAGAUCCCAAGAUGGCCCCAGUGUUCCCAUCCUCCGGUAUCAUGCCCUUGUGUAAUAAUACCCACUUUGGGAACAGAAGCAGGACAUAGUGACUUGCUGGUGACACACAGAAUAGAGUGAAGUCAUGCAGUGAGUAUCUGGAAUCACCAGGACGCAAGAUAUGAGGGGCCUGGGGUCCACAGUCUCAAGGUGGGUGGUCCAAGCCAGACUGGAUAAGUGCAGAUUUCUGGUGGAACCCCAUGACAAAAGACUCUGCAUUCCUUUUCCCUCUGAGGGGUUUCUUCUCCAGAUCUCAGCCCCCACAACCACUGCACUCAGACAGGAGGAGGAGGAGGAAAGGUCACCAGCAGGGAUUCUCAUCCUGGCUGCAGUCAACAGGGGAAUUCUGUAAAAAGUACAGGAAGGGAA